CCUACGGGAGGCAGCAGUGAGGAAUAUUGGUCAAUGGACGAAAGUCUGAACCAGCCAAGUAGCGUGAAGGAUGACUGCCCUAUGGGUUGUAAACUUCUUUUAUAUGGGAAUAAACUGUUCCACGUGUGGGAUUUUGUAUGUACCAUAUGAAUAAGGAUCGGCUAACUCCGUGCCAGCAGCCGCGGUAAUACGGAGGAUCCGAGCGUUAUCCGGAUUUAUUGGGUUUAAAGGGAGCGUAGGUGGAUUGUUAAGUCAGUUGUGAAAGUUUGCGGCUCAACCGUAAAAUUGCAGUUGAAACUGGCAGUCUUGAGUACAGUAGAGGUGGGCGGAAUGCGUGGUGUAGCGGUGAAAUGCUUAGAUAUCACGAAGAACUCCGAUUGCGAAGGCAGCUUACUGGACUGCAACUGACACUGAGGCUCGAAAGUGUGGGUAUCAAACAGGAUUAGAUACCCUUGUAGUC
RNAcentral lists this ribosomal RNA (460 nucleotides) under uncultured bacterium. Its description in RNAcentral is "partial 16S ribosomal RNA". It matches the Rfam family "Bacterial small subunit ribosomal RNA", at positions 338 to 795 of the family's 1533-position model. The record is from RNAcentral.